UACCUGAUCUCUUUCCCUUCAUCACUCCCAACACAAGAUAACAAACUCAACCAUUCUCUCUCUUGAGGCAUCUGUGUGCCCCACAAACAUGUAUGCAACACCCACCAUGUCUACAAGCCUUGUUCGGCACCUAGAGAUGCAGAAUGACACAGUGACUGUCCCUUCAAGAAGCUACCCCCUCAAGGUUGGGAGGCAGAUACAAUGGCCAUUAGAAUGGAAUGUACAAGACAUUGUGGGCCAUGCGGAAGGGACUAACCCAGCCUGGGGUAAUAGGGAGGGCAACCAAAAAGAGAUGGCCCUUGUAUGAAGUCAUAAAGGAUGAGCUGCACUAAGCCAGGCAAAGAGGGGUUACGGUGAGUUCUUCCAGGCAAAGAGGAUUUUGUCUGGAAGUCCUCUUUGAGCAAAGACAUGGAGUCCACAUGAGCAAAGACAUGGAGGAGAAAAACGGCAUGGCACGAAGGGAACUGCAGGAGGGAAAAGCAAAGAGAAGAUGCGAUGAAGCCACAGAGCAGGAAGAGGCCUCGGUUGCUGUCCUGACCAGUCCUCUCACUUCACCAUCAAGGCCAUGAAACCCAGAGAAGGGAUGUGACUUGAGAUCCAGCCAGACCCAGAUCCAGAGUUGGGAGGGCAGGGGUGCUGCAAUAUGAUCACAGAAUCGACACUCGACCCCUCCCAGCGACCUGGCAAAGUGGGCACUAACUCCAUUCUGCAGAGGUGGAAACUGAGGCCAGUGUGGGGAAUGGAAAUUGACUGGGCUAAGCUUAGAAGCCUGAACUCUGACCCCAAAGCUCUCUCUUGUACCUUUGACCCCCUUGUCUUGUCCUGCAGCUCUUAAGGUUACAGUGAGCCAGUUUUUCAUUUUGCCUUUCUCCAAUGGAGGCACCUUGGAAAAUAGAGAUCUGGCUGGAGCAACCUGGAACAUUUGAUGAUUGGGCUUAUUUAUAUUUAUAAUUAUCUAUAGAGUGAUAAGCACUUAUAUGCGGAAGGAGAGAGUUCCUGUCCUGCUCACUGAUGUAUCAUCAACUUGCUAAUGAAUGAAUGAAUGAACAAAUGCUAAUCCUCACAGAUCCCCUCUCUACAGAGGAAGAGGCUGAGGCUCAGGGAGGUGCAGUGACUUGCUUCAGAGACACAGGAAUCAUGCCAGGAAUCGUCGGGCCUCCCUUUUUUCUCAGAGAAGAAAGAUUGUUUCUGUUUCCUCCUCCGUCAUGCUGGGCUUGUCAACCAGCCAGUCACCGGCCCUCCCUGAGGAAGCGCAGCACAGUCACCAGCCAGGAGAACAGAUUCACCUGCCCCAGGACGUCAGCGCUGCCCACACACGGUGCCACCCACGCACUGUGACACACACUCACACUUGGGCCCCAGACUCCCCAGGUCCAACCAAGGAGAGGGAAUGGCAGAGGAGCGCACAGGGGUGGGGCAGGCACUGAACCCCGCUGGGGAAUGGAGGGGGAAAGGGUGGGACAGGCCCCACCCAGCCCCAACUGUCAGAAGACGAAAGAAAGGGUGCAGGUGGGCUCCGGGUUGGAGAAGAAGAAGGUGAGCCAGCAGAGCCGAGUCACGGCAGCCUGCCAAGCCGACUGCUGAGGCAGAGUUAGCACUGGCUGGAUGAGACACUUCACACUUCACAGCUCCUGAAAAGUGUGGAGGAAAUGCCCACACCCUACAUAGACCAGAGGGCCACUAUCUGCUUGAAACAAAUGGCCCCUUCCUGGACAUCCUUUGUUCCCCUUUAUGGACAAAAUGCUACUACCUUCACUUACACCCUCCCUAGAGAUCUCCCAAAGAAGGAGGAUGAGGGAAGCUGCCUUUGGUUGAGUCUAUGCUAUGUGCCUGACUCUGUGCCAAGCUCUGGACCUCCACCAAGUCAGGUACUCCCCACAGGCUGAAAUCAG
Molecule: long non-coding RNA, 1892 nt
Filed under: Homo sapiens (human)
Lineage: Eukaryota; Metazoa; Chordata; Mammalia; Primates; Hominidae
Description: HSALNT0097882
Source: RNAcentral